Long non-coding RNA from Hylaeus volcanicus, 2395 nucleotides. RefSeq lists it as uncharacterized. The record is from RefSeq and is a predicted model, not a curated record. The transcript is spliced from 4 exons. NCBI's taxonomy places the organism in Eukaryota, Metazoa, Arthropoda, Insecta, Hymenoptera, Colletidae.
UGUAAGUCUUUUUUAAGAUAACCGAUUUGUAUACAAAAAUCUUUUUAAAUCAAUUCCGUCCGUUAACAAAAAAAAAAAUUUUUUUUACGAUGUAGAACCCUUAAAUGUAGAAUAAUUAGAAAAAAAGUUUGUAUACCUAAGCCUGUGUUUAGACAAAAUUACGCAUGAAUGAUGUUGAAGAAAUUCAUUUUCUUUUGGAUUGUGAAAACUUUUAAAUGAUAAAAAUAUCCCUUUAGUGAAAAAAACAAAACGAAUGAAACCAAACGAUGUGAACGACUAAGAAGACAAAGUAAUUAUCAACGUACAAUCACCAUCACAGCAACCAAUGAAAAGUGAUUGCCCAUUUAAAAAUGGACCUAGAUGGAAUUCAGUUCUACUAAAUGCAAGCAAAAAUUUAAGUAUUUCUAUCGUCCAAGCUAUUAUCAAUUUUCAAGUAGCAAGUUUUCUCAAUCUGAACGUAAAAACGUUUUGCAUAUUCUACGUCGAUCACAAGAAUAAGCAGUAAAUAUCGUUUUGAUUUUUUUAGUUUAAGAAUUUUUUGUAUUUUUUUUAAUCGUAUAAUUUUUGUAUGAGAACAUUGUUUCACUUUUUUUUUUUCGGUAAUUGAUGGAAGAAAAAAAGUUUAUUUAGAAAACACGCUUAUGGUUCUUAAUUAUUUUUAUAAACCUGGUCGUACAUGACGAAAUAAAAAUAAGAUUAUAGUCUUUUGGGGACAAUUUAUUGAAUGUAGAAAAAUUCAAUUUUUUAUAUAGACUACUUUAGGGUUAUACUUUUGUCGUGUUGUGAGUCAUAUUCCUUUGAAAGCACCAGAUCCCAUCUGAACUCUGACCUUAACCAAAGGAAAAGUCGUUCAGUACUAGUUAUGGGAGACUGACUGGGAAUCGCAGACUGGUAACAAGUUUUAAAAAAUUUGAUUCAGUGUUCCCCGUUUGAGGGUAGGCUAUAUGUCGAGUAAUGAGCUUCGAAAAGAUACCUCAUAACGUAACGGUUACGCCUUCGUCAAAUUUAAUGUUGACUUAGCUGAACAACGGCUAAGUUUUCCGUUGCUGUAAAUGGUGAAAUGCCAACAAGAUUUUUUUUGGAAAUAGAAUGUUACGUGUAAUCUUUGUUUAAAUGGUUUUUUUGUAUUUUUUUAUUAAUCCUAACAGAUUUAAUGAAACUCUUUAAAUAAUUACUGUACAUAAACGAGGGCCUAAUAAGUGUCGUUUCCAGUUUUCGUAAAAAUAUUUUUAAAGAAAAAACUUUUAAAACCCUUUAAAAAUAAUUUAUGACUUUUAUUGCAAUCACUGGAUUAUUAAAACUUUAAUUUUUUGUUUUUAUAGUCUUUUGUAUACAAUACAUUUACUGAGCAAUAAACACGUUACUUGAAUCGAUUAGUGAAAACUGAUCUAAUAACCAUUACGAGAUAAGCUAUCUUUUCAGAGCUCAUAAAUAAGGCGUAUUAAUUUUUUUUACGGAGAGAAGGGGGGAGAAAUAACACUGAGUUCAACGGAAAUUUUUCUAUUGAUUUAAUCGACUCAUCAGUUUUAGUCGAUUACAGCUGGUUGCUAGACCAACUCCAGAUACUGACUAAGGCUCAUUUUGAAGAAACCCUUCCAUCUUUCAACUCUUGAGUGACGAAUCCAUUUGUAUAACGUUUUUUAUAGGUUUUCAUUAAGAACAACGAAAAAGAUAUUUUUUAUUAAGAAUAAAAAGAAAUCGCAAAGAUACAUUUUAAUCCAUUACUAAGAGUAUAUCAAGAGGCAAUGGGAGAGGUUAGAGCAUGUUGUUUUGGGGUCUGCCAAAGCCAACUGUUCUACUGGAUCUCACCUUAUCAUUUAUUGUAUCAUUGCGCGGAUGCUGUAUAGGGUUUCAUGCGCUAAAUACUGUACUUUUUCAUGAGACAUAUUUUGCAGUUCGGGCUUCAUUGAUUUUCGUUAAUAUGUCCUCGAUUAUAGUCCUGUUGUACCAAUACUGAUAUCCUCGUUAACUAGAAACACAAAUACUUUCUGUAGUUGUAAAAGCGUUCAAAUCGAUUAACGAUCAGGAAUCAACACCUUAUAGGUGGCCAAGACGACCUUGAAAUGCAUUAGAUUAAUUUGUAAUAUUAAAUCAGUUUAAUUAAGUCAAAAACAUUUCUAGAUUAUCGACUAUAAUGUAUACCCUCUGUGUUUCCAUUUUUUUGACGUUUUGUUGCAUCUAGUGUGGCGUAAAGAAAAACAAGGGCCUUUUAUCAACCAGCCAACACUCAACCGAGUUACAGUCCGACGGUUCAUAUUGAUUCUGAAAAGCUUCAAUCAACGGAUAAAACAAUUUUGCUAACAAAAACUUUCUUUGUAACCCCUUAUUCAAGAUAGGUUUAAUCAGAACAUUCUUCGUAACAAAGAUGCUGUUUAGUGAAUCGGACGACCCCUAA